CUUGACCACAAGUGAGUUCACAAACUAGACAUUUUUAACGCAACUCUUAACACUUUUUGCAUUUUAAACCACAUUUUGUUUCUUCAUAGUCUUGGCUGGGGGCAAUGAAAUCAAAUGUUUGGAAGAGUUGGUGCCCCUUCCAUUUCUGCUAAGCCAUUAAAGACCUUUGCAGAUGCUAUAGAUGUCUGGGUUGUGGAAUUUUACCAGAGUCUCAGGAGUUUUAAAGGCUGGCAGAAAAAUGCCAUUACUGGAUUUCUGAGUGAGCAGAAUAUCAAAGUUGGGAAGCCAAAUGACUUCAACUGAUAUGGAUGUUCGGUCUUGCGGACAGUUUCAUCAUUUCUUGAAAUGAGAAAGUUUGGGAGUUUGACAACUUGCCACAGACUCCAUCACAACAGAUUCCAUUACAGUAUAGAUUUAUAGUACAUGGAUCCAUUAGUGAUUACUAUCAAUCAGUUGUUCCUCAGAGGCCAGAGGGGUAUCGACAUUGAAAUCAAAAGCAAAUGAGACAGAAACAAAUAUAUAGAUGUAUAUGUUUUCUAAUACCAAAAUUAUAUCAUGAUUGUUUUUUAUCA
Pistacia vera is the source of this 572-nucleotide long non-coding RNA. RefSeq lists it as uncharacterized. The record is from RefSeq and is a predicted model, not a curated record. The transcript has 2 exons. NCBI's taxonomy places the organism in Eukaryota, Viridiplantae, Streptophyta, Magnoliopsida, Sapindales, Anacardiaceae.